GCAGUCGAACGAAGUAGCAAUACUUAGUGGCAGACGGGUGAGUAACAUGUGGGUAUCUACCCUUUGGCCUGGAAUAACACGAGGAAACUUGUGCUAAUACCGGAUAAGUCUUUACGGAGAAAGCUUUAUGCACCAUUGGAUGAGCCCGCACUUGAUUAGUUUGUUGGUAGGGUAAUGGCCUACCAAGACUAUGAUCAAUAGCUGAUUUGAGAGGAUGAUCAGCCACAUUGGGACUGAGACACGGCCCAAACUCCUACGGGAGGCAGCAGUGGGGAAUCUUGCACAAUGGAGGAAACUCUGAUGCAGCGAUGCCGCGUGAGUGAAGAAGGCCUUUGGGUUGUAAAGCUCUUUCGUCGGGGAAGAAAAUGACUGUACCCGAAUAAGAAGGUCCGGCUAACUUCGUGCCAGCAGCCGCGGUAAUACGAAGGGACCUAGCGUAGUUCGGAAUUACUGGGCUUAAAGAGUUCGUAGGUGGUUGAAAAAGUUGGUGGUGAAAUCCCAGAGCUUAACUCUGGAACUGCCAUCAAAACUUUUCAGCUAGAGUAUGAUAGA
Molecule: ribosomal RNA, 552 nt
Filed under: uncultured bacterium
Lineage: Bacteria
Description: bacterial SSU rRNA
Rfam family: Bacterial small subunit ribosomal RNA
Source: RNAcentral